UGAUGGUCGGACAAAGCCCUUAGGACCUUAAAUAAACCAAGAAUAAAAGGAAAAACAAAAAAGUCACACACAAAGGAGGAAUCUUCGACAGAAUCACAUAUUGAAAUCUAACAGAAAUAGGGGUAGAAACUUACUUGCUCGUAGAAAUUGAUGGACUAGAAAUAUAGACUUUGUCGCCGUGAUCGAUUAGACACCUCCUAAUCGUCAGAGAGAUGACUCAGGAGUCAAAAUUCUUAAAGAAAAGAUAAAAAAACUCUAGAAAAGUGGUUUCUAGAAAGAUGUUCAUUUAUAACAAAAUUAUUUAUAACUAAAUCAUUUAAUAU
This 323-nucleotide long non-coding RNA is filed under the name Vigna radiata. RNAcentral's name for it is "long non-coding RNA (VRAD_LNC004147)". The record is from RNAcentral. Lineage: Eukaryota; Viridiplantae; Streptophyta; Magnoliopsida; Fabales; Fabaceae.